Molecule: small RNA, 78 nt
Filed under: Allocoleopsis franciscana PCC 7113
Lineage: Bacteria; Bacillati; Cyanobacteriota; Cyanophyceae; Coleofasciculales; Coleofasciculaceae
Description: Microcoleus sp. PCC 7113 Cyano-1 RNA
Rfam family: Cyano-1 RNA
Source: Rfam by way of RNAcentral
UCUUGUGUGAGGAGAUAAAGUUACAACGAAAAAGCGCUUGGGGUCGAAACACGGCAAGACUCCCAGGCGCUUUUUCAU